This 510-nucleotide ribosomal RNA is filed under the name uncultured bacterium. Its description in RNAcentral is "bacterial SSU rRNA". It matches the Rfam family "Bacterial small subunit ribosomal RNA", at positions 15 to 518 of the family's 1533-position model. The record is from RNAcentral.
GAUCAUGGCUCAGGAUGAACGCUAGCGACAGGCUAACACAUGCGAGUCGAGGGGCAGCACGGGAGUAGCAAUACUUGGUGGCGACCGGCGCACGGGUGAGUAACGCGUAUGCAACCUACCUAUCGAGAGGGGAAUAACCCGGCGAAAGUCGGACUAAUACCGCAUAAAACAGGGGCACCGCAUGGUGAUAUUGUUAAAGAAAUUCGCUGAUAGAUGGGCAUGCGUUCCAUUAGGUAGUUGGUGAGGUAACGGCUCACCAAGCCGACGAUGGAUAGGGGAACUGAGAGGUUGGUCCCCCACACUGGUACUGAGACACGGACCAGACUCCUACGGGAGGCAGCAGUGAGGAAUAUUGGUCAAUGGGCGGGAGCCUGAACCAGCCAAGUCGCCGUGAAGGAAGAAGGAUCUAUGGUUCGUAAACUUCUUUUGCAGGGGAAUAAAGUGCAGGACGUGUCCUGUUUUGUAUGUACCCUGAGAAUAAGGAUCGGCUAACUCCGUGCCAGCCGCGGC